RNAcentral lists this transfer RNA (60 nucleotides) under Bactrurus brachycaudus. RNAcentral describes it as "tRNA-Trp". The record is from RNAcentral. Lineage: Eukaryota; Metazoa; Arthropoda; Malacostraca; Amphipoda; Crangonyctidae.
UAAGCUUUAAGUUAUAUAAACUAGGAGGUUUCAAGCCUCUUUAAGAGUAAUCAAGCUUAU